Molecule: ribosomal RNA, 509 nt
Filed under: uncultured bacterium
Lineage: Bacteria
Description: bacterial SSU rRNA
Rfam family: Bacterial small subunit ribosomal RNA
Source: RNAcentral
GACGAACGCUGGCGGCGUGGAUUAGGCAUGCAAGUCGAACGGUAUCAUCCUUUCGGGGGUGAGAGAGUGGCGAACUGGUGAGUAACACGUAGGUUAUCUACCCUCAAGACGGGGACAACCCAGGGAAACUUGGGCUAAUACCGGAUGUGAGCAACUUUUAGUUGUUUGAAAGGUGGCGUAAGCUGUCGCUUGGGGAUGAGCCUGCGUCCUAUUAGUUAGUUGGUGAGGUAACGGCUCACCUAGGCAAUGAUAGGUAGGCGGCCUUAACGGGUGGUCGCCCACACUGGGAUUGAGAUACGGCCCAGACUCCUACGGGAGGCAGCAGUCGAGAAUAGUCUACAAUGGUCGGAAGACCGAUAGUGCGACGCCGCGUGAACGAUGAAUCCCUUCGGGGUGUAAAGUUCUUUUAUAUGUGAGCAGUGCUUCUUAUAUUAACAGUAUGGGGAGAGAGAUAUUAGCAUAUGAAUAAGCAACGGCUAACUCCGUGCCAGCAGCCGCGGUAAUCUCGU